This 103-nucleotide transfer RNA is filed under the name Pyricularia grisea. RNAcentral's name for it is "tRNA-Met". It matches the Rfam family "tRNA". Rfam says of the family: Transfer RNA (tRNA) molecules are approximately 80 nucleotides in length. Lineage: Eukaryota; Fungi; Ascomycota; Sordariomycetes; Magnaporthales; Pyriculariaceae. The record is from RNAcentral.
GGGGACGUGGCGCAGUUGGCUAGCGCGUAGGUCUCAUACAGUACUGUGAUCAAUCAACCAUUGAACAAUCCUAAGGUCGUGAGUUCGAGCCUCACCGUCCCCA